Molecule: ribosomal RNA, 252 nt
Filed under: uncultured prokaryote
Description: partial 16S ribosomal RNA
Rfam family: Bacterial small subunit ribosomal RNA
Source: RNAcentral
ACGUAGGAGGCGAGCGUUAUCCGGAUUUACUGGGCGUAAAGCGCGUGCAGGCGGUGCGAUAAGUCGUGCGUGAAAGCUCCCAGGCUUAACCGGGAGAGGACGUGCGAGACUGUCGGACUAGAGGCAGGUAGAGGCAAGUGGAAUUCCCGGUGUAGUGGUGGAAUGCGUAGAGAUCGGGAGGAACACCAGUGGCGAAAGCGACACCCUGGCAUUGGCCUGACGCUGAGGUGCGAAAGCGUGGGGAGCAAACGA